This 609-nucleotide ribosomal RNA is filed under the name Botryosphaeria dothidea. Its description in RNAcentral is "eukaryotic LSU rRNA". The stretch from base 184 to 337 matches the Rfam family "5.8S ribosomal RNA". The record is from RNAcentral. Lineage: Eukaryota; Fungi; Ascomycota; Dothideomycetes; Botryosphaeriales; Botryosphaeriaceae.
GGCUAACUAUCUGAUCGUCCUCCUGUUGAUCCUCCCACCCUUUGAGGACCUACCUCUGUCGUUUUGGCGGGCCGCGGACCACCGCGACCGCCCCCCUCACCGGAUGUUAACGAAGCGCCCGCCAGAGUUGCAUCAACCUACAAACAUAAUACGAUGUUCUCUGAAGAACAUUUAAUAAUCUAGAAUUUUCGACAACGGAUCUCUUGUGUCUGAAAUCGAGGAAAAAGGCAAAGAAAUGGAAUAAUCAAAGCGAAUUGCGCAACUUGGGGAAUCAUCGAAUCUUUGAACGCUCAUUGCGCCCUUUGCAAUUCCGAACGUCAUGCCUGUUCGAACGUCAUUACAACCCUCAAGCUCUGCUUGGUAUUGUGCACCGUCCUUUGCGGGCGCGCCUCUCUUCCUCUAUGAUGGCGUCUUGCCUCAAGCGUAGCGAACAUACAUCUCGCUUUCUAGCGCAGUUGACCAUCCCGCCGGACGAACCUUCUGAACUUUUCUCAAGGCUGAUCUCAACCGACUCAUGAAUAACCGUUGAACUUAGGGAUAUCACUAAGCGCAGGACCUCAAAUCAGGUAGGACUACCCGCUGAACUUAAGCAUAUCAAUAAGCGGAGGA